GUCUCAGUAGCAUAGUGGUUAGUGCACAGCCCCGGAUGGGUUGAGACGCGGGUUCGAAUCCCGCCUGAGAUG
Nippostrongylus brasiliensis is the source of this 72-nucleotide non-coding RNA. Lineage: Eukaryota; Metazoa; Nematoda; Chromadorea; Rhabditida; Heligmosomidae. The record is from Rfam.